Molecule: long non-coding RNA, 3484 nt
Organism: Sceloporus undulatus (fence lizard)
Lineage: Eukaryota; Metazoa; Chordata; Lepidosauria; Squamata; Phrynosomatidae
Exons: 4
Source: RefSeq, a predicted model, not a curated record
GAGGAGGCGGCGGCGGCGGCGGCGGCGGAGAGGUCCGAGUCAGAGACUGGCAUCUGAGGCAGACAAGCGCCACACGCCGAUCGCUUUGGAAGUGAUGAUGCGCUGAUCAUAUCUAGAAGCAUGGAUCCUCGCCAGCAGGUUGGCAAGGGAGGGAAAGAUGGCGGCGGUGACAGCGGAUGGGGACAAAGAAAGGAUGACUCCCCCGAGCCAGCCCAUCGCGCUCCGCUCCUCCCAUCCUGUGGAACCCGAAUCAGACGCCGAAAUGUUCCCAUUUAAAUACAGCAAUUCUUAUAUUGGCACAAGGGAUAACCCAAGGGAGAAGUACAGUUUCCAGAUCCAUAACAGUGGCAGGCAAAUUUCUUGAAGAUUAAUGAAGAAGUCCUUGGAAAUAAAAAGAAACCUUCCCCAUUAAACCUGAUAAAUGGAGGAGAACAUCUUUUGUAAUAGCGCAAGAACAGAAGAAUAUCCUUUGUAAUAGCACAGUUGCUUGAUCUUAAUGAGGUGCACCACCAAGAAAUGAAAAAUGGGAAGGAAGAAGGGUGCUGUGAUUACUGUAAAUACAGAAAAGAAACUAGGAAAUCCAAAAGCUGCUAAAGGAUAAAGAAUACCUGGAAGAGAUUAAUCCAGAGACACUGCACACAUGAAGACAUUUAUCAUCUCAUGGUAAAAAGCACUGGACUGAAUUUGGACUACUGACUCCACUUAAAAAUGUGACGUGGCUUGUACUGGUUUAAUGGAUUAAGAGUCUUGGACUAGAAUUGCACAGACCCAGCUUCAAGGUCCAACUCAGCUUGCUGGUGACCUUGGCCUAGUCACAGCCUCUCACCACCUUCUGGGGAUGUUGUGAGGAUAAAAACCAGUCAAGAGAUCCUUGAUACAUAACUGCUUGGAGGAAAGCACAACACAUAUAUAAUUCCCUUGAAACAGAACCAAUGACAUCAAGUGCCAACUGGGAUUAUGUGGAAACUGAUGCCUAGACUAUAAAGCCAAGAAAAAUAUCAAAAUGACACUCCUGGAGAUCUAGGGGUUCCAUGGCAAUUACCUGAGAUUUCAGCCUGCACCCAGAGACCUGGCAAGCCUACCACUGGGUGCACCUGUGAGGGUUAUGGGACCAAGAAAAGAGCCUCAUCUGAAGAUAUUAGAGUCUAUACUCUGACAUAUCAUAUGGGAGAAAAUGGUCCUUCAUAUAUACUGAAUCCAAGAAAAACUCUUGCUUUCAUGUUCCAAAUGAAUGCAUACAUUAGUUUAUUUGUAAUAUUGGGUAAACCAUUUAGCUGCUGCAUGCCUCAGACAGUUGUCAAUGCUGUAAAUUCCCCAGUCUUCUCAAACCUCUUCUUCCUCUGAAGCUGCAUGGACCAGCAAGAAGAUAUAUAUUUUUUCAGUCAGGCACGCCAGACUUUAAAGGAAGAUUUCUGCAGAAAAUCAGAAAGCAAAUUCUUUUUCUACCUUUCAUGAAAAGCUAUGAAGGCUUUUUUUAAUGGCUUAUAUGCUAGGAAGUAGGUUAGAGAUCUGAGUAAUAUAAAUAAUAAAUUAUGAACAGUCUUCAUGAAGCUGUAAUUUUAUGGUGAAAUUCCAUGUUACAUUCAUAUGCUUGGGGGGGGGGGGAGCCCAACAACAGCUUUUUCUGUGGAAACGCAGAAUUGGCACAUAGCAUCUGUAAGCAGACAAGCUGCUAAGGUGAGGAAAUGGGUAAUGGUGGGCUCUUCAUCUCCCACCCUCCCCAUGAAAAACUUUACUGGAUGAGACUAAGAGAGAACUUCAAUAUAUACUCUGGGAAGUAUCAGAGUUGUAUUGUGUGUGUGUGUGUGUGUGUGUGUGUGUAUUCCCAAGUUCUUCUUCUCCUCAUUUAGUGUUCUGCUUCCCCAUAGAUGGCCAAAUAAGAUGCCCUUGAGACCUUGAGAGCAGCACAUGCAGGUGCAGCUAUUCUUCUGCUCUGGACUGGUAUGCAGAAGCAUGGUGCCUGUGACUUGUCUCUUUCCUUCCCCAAAUCCUCUCUCUUUCUUAUAGGCAUAUGUGUGUUACGUGUCAUUGCAUCCCAACCAGACUAUUGUUUGUUUGUGAAUGAAAUCUGUACCCACCUAGUAUUAUAUUUUCUUCACUACGUUAGAGAAAGGGACACAGAAGAUAAUGACUGAUAGUGUAAUAGGAGAUGUACAGGUAUGAAUAAAGAAGCCAGAAGCUAGAAAUAAGUAUGUAGCAUCUAAUAACAAGCAACACUAAAAAGUUGUCUCACCAUCUUCCCAAGUUAUAUCUUGCUGUGAGCUGGAGGGGAGGAAAAGCUUGGAAAGCUUGCAAAGAUAUGUUUUGGAUUCUAAAUCCAAUUUCUUGUCCCAACUAGAGUAAAGCCAUUCAGUCAGUGGGAUGUAUAUGUGUGUUGACUUGCCACUCAGUAGUUGAUACAGAGGUCUACUCAAACUGGGCAAGCAACUGGAUAGAGACCUUGGCCUACAACUUUGUAAAUUUACCAGUGGCAGCGUGGGGUAAUAACAUCAUGUCACAAGGUGGAAAAAUCACUCUUGGUUUUAGUAUGACCAACCUGUGGGGGUGACGCUUAGGACCAUGGAUAGAAUUUAGAAUAGACUGAGCAGGUCCUGACAUGGAAGCCACUAGUUGCCCUUGCCAACCAGGACAGCCAGUGAGCAUGUUGGCUGCAGAUUAUUGCAGCUGUAAAAUCUAAGUUGCUCCAGCUCUGAGGAAUCCAGUGAAUUGUCUUACACUCCAGUAUAGAAAUCAUAGUAUAAAUGAAAUGGCAGUGAGGAUAUUAGCUCUGUACCUGGCCCCAAGAAUUCACAGUGCCACUCAUACAAAUGACAAAUAGCUGCAGACAGGAGUUAUUUGGUUUGACAAAGGUAGUUAUAUAUCUUUGCUGUCACAGUCUUGCACAGAUGGAACCAUUUUAACAUAGGCAACAUUUACUAAUGCAAACUGAGAACUAAAAGAUAUAAACUCUAUGUGUAUGUCUGUGUGUCUGAGGUGAUGAAAAUAUAAUUUCAGUUUUUGUGAGCUUUAAUUAGAUCAGGGGUUAAGUUGGUGCUGAGUUCCUGUCUGCUGUACAAAAGGAAGUACAGUCGUCCCUUCCCUUAUGUGGGAGAUCCAUUCCGGACCCCUCUGCAUAAGAGAAAAAAUGUGGAUGCUCAAGCCCCAUUCAUGUGAAUGGGGCCUGUGCCUGCAGCAGCAUGAGGUGCAUGGUGGGCAAACUGUAUCAGAGUGGAGAGGGGAUUAUUCAAGCAGAAUAAUCAAACUGGCAAGGCUGAAGCUGAAGAACAACCAGUUCUAUGCUCACCUACCCAUCCUCUAGCUUUAACAGAGAAAAGAAAUAAGCUUAGAGGGGAUACAGACUGGUAGACAGGGGCGGCGAGACACCCAGGAGGAAGUAAGAUAAUGUUUUCAAAGGGAAAAAAAUUCAGGAGGAAAACAUCUGAUAGAAAUUACGAUACAUAGUGAUUUCAGAUUCAAGUGAUUCUGAUGACUUUAUCACAUGGAG